UGGGAAGCAGGUUAAUAUUCCUGCACCGUCGUAUGAUGCGAUGGGGGGACGGAUCGCGGAAGGUUGUCUGCCUGUUGGAAUAGGCAGUUUCUGGUUCAUAGAAGGCACUUAGGCAAAUCCGGGUGCGGAAUUCAAGGGACUGGGACGAAGAACUUCGGUUCUGUAGCAAUCGGAAGUGGUUCCAAGAAAAGCCUCUAAGCUUCAGUCAUACGAGACCGUACCGCAAACCGACACAGGUGGGCGAGAUGAGUAUUC
This 255-nucleotide ribosomal RNA is filed under the name Duganella sp. FT27W. RNAcentral's name for it is "partial 23S ribosomal RNA". It matches the Rfam family "Bacterial large subunit ribosomal RNA", at positions 1419 to 1681 of the family's 2925-position model. The record is from RNAcentral. Lineage: Bacteria; Pseudomonadati; Pseudomonadota; Betaproteobacteria; Burkholderiales; Oxalobacteraceae.